UACGGGGGGGGCAAGCGUUGUUCGGAAUUACUGGGCGUAAAGGGCUCGUAGGUGGCCAACUAAGUCAGACGUGAAAUCCCUCGGCUUAACCGGGGAACUGCGUCUGAUACUGGAUGGCUUGAGUUCGGGAGAGGGAUGCGGAAUUCCAGGUGUAGCGGUGAAAUGCGUAGAUAUCUGGAGGAACACCAAUGGCGAAGGCAGCUCGCUGGGACGGUACUGACGCUGAGGCGCGAAAGCGUGGGGAGCAAACAGG
This 253-nucleotide ribosomal RNA is filed under the name uncultured bacterium. RNAcentral's name for it is "partial 16S ribosomal RNA". It matches the Rfam family "Bacterial small subunit ribosomal RNA", at positions 524 to 776 of the family's 1533-position model. The record is from RNAcentral.